Molecule: transfer RNA, 75 nt
Filed under: Patescibacteria group bacterium
Lineage: Bacteria
Also listed under: 3 other names
Description: tRNA-Gly
Rfam family: tRNA
About the family: Transfer RNA (tRNA) molecules are approximately 80 nucleotides in length. Their secondary structure includes four short double-helical elements and three loops (D, anti-codon, and T loops).
Source: RNAcentral
GCGGGUAUCGUAUAGUGGCUAUUAUGAAUGCUUCCCAAGCAUUAGAGAGGGGUUCGAUUCCCCUUACCCGCUCCA